GAUGAACGCUGGCGGCGUGCUUAACACAUGCAAGUCGAACGAAGCACUUAAGAUUGAUUCUUCGGAUGACGUCUUUUGUGACUUAGUGGCGGACGGGUGAGUAACGCGUGGGUAACCUGCCUCACACAGGGGGAUAACAGUUAGAAAUGACUGCUAAUACCGCAUACCCCGAUAGGAUCGCAUGAUCCAGACGGAAAAGAUUUAUCGGUGUGAGAUGGACCCGCGUCUGAUUAGCUAGUUGGUGAGGUAACGGCCCACCAAGGCGACGAUCAGUAGCCGGCCUGAGAGGGUGAACGGCCACAGUGGGACUGAGACACGGCCCAAACUCCUACGGGAGGCAGCAGUGGGGAAUAUUGCACAAUGGGGGAAACCCUGAUGCAGCGACGCCGCGUGAGUGAAGAAGUAUUUCGGUAUGUAAAGCUCUAUAAGCAGGGAAGAAAAUGACGGUACCUGACUAAGAAGCCCCGGCUAACUACGUG
Molecule: ribosomal RNA, 479 nt
Filed under: uncultured bacterium
Lineage: Bacteria
Description: partial 16S ribosomal RNA
Rfam family: Bacterial small subunit ribosomal RNA
Source: RNAcentral